GUUUAAGGGUAUAUUCCACCUAUUUGGGAUACAUCUGAAAAGUGGGGGAAAGUAUGCCUUGUAUAAUUGUGUUAAGUGCUAAUCUAAGGGGAGGAGAUGUGUGGGAGGUAACGUCUAUGGGAUUGGUUACUGUACUUAUUGUGGUGAAUCCCUCCCUUGCAUGGGAGAAUCUCAUAAAAGCAGGAAUGUUGCCAUUAAAAGUUAGUUCUACUCCUGAUACUGUGUGUCGUCCAGUGAUUGGGGAAAGUGAUGGGAUAUUAUUGGAUUGUAUUGCUGAUUGUGCUGGAUAUUCUCUUGGAUUUAUU
Molecule: non-coding RNA, 305 nt
Organism: Pelobates cultripes (western spadefoot toad)
Lineage: Eukaryota; Metazoa; Chordata; Amphibia; Anura; Pelobatidae
Source: the annotation of a GenBank genome assembly